This 253-nucleotide ribosomal RNA is filed under the name uncultured bacterium. RNAcentral's name for it is "partial 16S ribosomal RNA". It matches the Rfam family "Bacterial small subunit ribosomal RNA", at positions 524 to 776 of the family's 1533-position model. The record is from RNAcentral.
GACGGAGGGUGCUAGCGUUGUUCGGAAUUACUGGGCGUAAAGGGCGCGUAGGCGGCUCUGUAAGUCGGGUGUGAAAGCCAGGUGCUCAACCCCGGAACGGCACCCGAGACUGCGGAGCUCGAGACCUGAAGAGGUGAGUGGAAUACCCAGUGUAGAGGUGAAAUUCGUAGAUAUUGGGUGGAACACCGGUGGCGAAAGCGGCUCACUGGUCCGGUUCUGACGCUGAGGCGCGAAAGCGUGAGGAGCAAUCAGG